AAAUUGAAGGCUGACUGACUUGAGCAGUUUUGACUCGCCUGAAUGAUUUACAGAUUUGCUUGGAGGUUUCAUUCUUAUACAAUACUUGGCUUUUUAAAAUUUCUGUGAUUAGUCGCUCACUGGCUGCACAUAAAAAUACCAGGAUAUACAAAUGUAACUUCUUUUUUUGGUUUUGGAAAAUGCAUUAUUUUGUUCAGUGAUUUUUGGUCCUCAUCAUCUCUUCCUUGCAUCUCCUUCUUGGCCUUGUUUUUGUAGCCAAAGAAGGCUGAUACCUUCAACAGUGUCUUAUGAGCUAUUGUU
Molecule: unclassified non-coding RNA, 300 nt
Filed under: Hevea brasiliensis (rubber tree)
Lineage: Eukaryota; Viridiplantae; Streptophyta; Magnoliopsida; Malpighiales; Euphorbiaceae
Source: RNAcentral